CUGUGACUGUCAUUUGAAGUCACUGCUUUUGGGGAUUGUUGGUUAUAGAUAGUAGGUAACCAAAAUAGCAAGGAAUGCUGCAGAUGGAUGUCAGGCUGAAAAUCUCAGAGGCAACAUACGUACGAUCAAGUAUCAGCAAUUUCAAUGUAAAUGACAUGGAAAGUAAAAAUACAUAAAUUAAUAAAUAAAUGAAGAAAAUAAAGGAGAGAGGACAGGAAAUCAGAAGACAGACUUUUGGAGAUGGAGAAAUGAGUAAGUGGAGGUGGGAGAAAAAAGAGCAAAGAAAGGGAAGGUACUUCAUAAAUUCCAAGAAGAGAAAUGUAUUCAGGAACAUAAUAUUGAAGUGACACCUGCCAUUAAAGAAUCAGUGUUAGAUUGACAAGCAUUCCCUUCAAGGAGGAAGUCAGCAAGUAUCCCUGGGCUCUAUGCCAACAGAAAAGAUAAUGACAGAGAGUGCUGUUGGAGUUUACAGAGAAAGAGUUCUUUUGGAAAAGCAAAGAGAUUAUUAAAUGGAAGAUAGAAUUCUAAAUUCACAGACAAUGGGCAUCUAAACUUUGCUCCAUGCUGGAUCUGGGGGAAAUGU
This 583-nucleotide long non-coding RNA is filed under the name Chinchilla lanigera (long-tailed chinchilla). Its description in RNAcentral is "lncRNA (ENSCLAG00000025124.1)". Lineage: Eukaryota; Metazoa; Chordata; Mammalia; Rodentia; Chinchillidae. The record is from RNAcentral.